This is a long non-coding RNA of Solea solea (common sole), 2033 nucleotides long. RefSeq lists it as uncharacterized. The record is from RefSeq and is a predicted model, not a curated record. The transcript has 3 exons. NCBI's taxonomy places the organism in Eukaryota, Metazoa, Chordata, Actinopteri, Pleuronectiformes, Soleidae.
UUGCCAGGUAAUAUCUGUGUGCCGGGUUGUUGCUGCGUUCAAGACAAUAACUCAGUUAUAUAUAUAUAUAUAUAGUCAUUGCUUCUUUUUUUUCUUAUAAAUGCCACAACAGUGCAGCUAAACAGACCAUUAACACUGCUAAUAUAAAACGUGACCUAAUGCAAUAAUCUCUGCAAAAUACCUGCAGGAAAAAAAAAAAAAAAAAAAUCUAAAUGUCAACCUAUACCCCUAAUGAAAUUUAGCCUGAUUUUCCUUCUGAAUAAAACAUUCAGUCAAGAAUAUCACUCCACUGUAUCUCUCCAGAGAGCUAACACUGUUUUCAGUAUGCAUUUAAUUUGUGGAAAAUACUGAGAAAAUAUUCUGAGGAAAUUCAUGGCAGUAUAGGGAGUUAUAUAAGGGCUAAUAGCAAACUCCUGGAUUCCACUUAAGACUAACAAUAUUAAAGAACCUCCUUCCGAAUCACAUAUUAGCUUUAAUUGGCUUCAAAGGGUUGACGGUGAGUUAAAGCUGAUGCUCGAUCAGGUUAUUUUCUUCUCAUUAGGAAUGCCAUUUUCUAAAACACACACUGUAAAAUGGCGGCUUAAGUGGAGCAUGUUUUCUUUCUCCCAGUCCAAUCGCAGCUUUAAAACCACCUUAUUAUCAGUUCAGUCCUUCACUCAUUUAUGCAGACAAUCAAGUGAAGAAGGUGACACAAAAGAGGCAUCGAAACUGUCUCUGUGGUAGUUUCUGGAUGUGGAUGCAGGGGCCACGUGUUGCCAGGACGACACACACACACAAAUGUUGAAUCACAAGCUAAAAUACAAUAUCAGCUAUUUUUGUGCGAGAAUUUCCUCAGCAGGAGAGAAGAGGGCAGAGCCUUUGAGAGAGGAUAAGUAGGAGACACAGAAGGUUGAAGAGAUGGACGUCAAACCAAAUUUAACUGCAGUGGGGGGUUCCAGUUUACAAAGCAGAAAUGACAACUCAUGCGCCAGAUCAUUUCAUUUGUUGUUGCUCCCCUGUGGGGAGAGGCUUUUGGAAGUGGCAGAAAUGACUGGCUGAUGUUAACAAAGAGCAACAACUAAUGACAUUGCAUCUGUUGCUGCUUAUCUGCGUCUUUCUCUCUGCCUUCUUACCAGGAAAUUAAGCCAUUUCGAAUCCACGCAAAUAUGUCGUUAGAUUAAAAGUCAACAGAUUUCAAAACACAUGAUUGACUGAUACUUAGAUUUGAAUAAAGCCAAUUAAAUAAUCAUUUUCCGCGGUGGGCCCCCUUUGAAACAAAUUCAAAAGUGACAAACUAUUGAAUUAACCUUUUCUAUUAAGGCAGCGUUGAUGCAUAGCAGGUGAUUAAGUGUCAUUAAAACAGAGCUCAAAACAGAGGCUGUUAAUAUGAAAAACAGCCGGCUUUACAGUGCAGUCGUAAACAUGGCUUCUCUGGUUGCACUCCAGCUUAAUGGUACCUCAGUCGAUACUGGUUGGCUUUGGAGGUAGGAUAAUGUGACGGCAAAAUAAAUGUGGCAAUGAAACAUCUUUGUAAAAUGAUGAAGAUGGAGUCGUAAAAACCUGACAGCCUUUAUGAGUCAAAGUAAAUGCCCCAAAAUAGACAAAUGCAAACAAGUUCCUAGAGAGAACUUGCGUCUCAUGAAGAUGAACAUGAGUAACUCUCCUUCUUUUACAGUCGACCUGCAGGGGGUGGACGCCAUAAAUGAAACACCUGUGCGAGAUUAUGCAGUCUCGUAAAACAGUCGCGCAAUAAAUAAAACCUUUGUGAAGCUCCUGAUGUUAAAUUCUACGAGAACUGAUCAAGAGGACACAAGGCUGCGACACGUAACUGCUGAUGAUUGUUGCGAGGAUCAAGCCUGUGAUGUCUCGGGUGGCGAGCUGCUCAGAAGAGGACUUUGGUUUCAGACAACACUCAGCGCCCCCCGGGCCCCGAAAACAGGGGAGACUCCCAACACUGUGCAAACUAAAAUGGAUUUAAAGAUGUUUAUACAUAAUUUAUAAACUCACCUCACCCUGUCUCUGAGUUUUAAUGGAAUCUAUAAAACUGUAAAUAA